AUAACAUUCGGACCGUCGGUCUACCGAGCAAUAUCACCCGCUCGGUGGAAGAUCUUCCCUCCGUCGU
RNAcentral lists this microRNA precursor (67 nucleotides) under Bombyx mori (domestic silkworm). RNAcentral's name for it is "mir-2774 microRNA precursor family". It matches the Rfam family "mir-2774 microRNA precursor family". Lineage: Eukaryota; Metazoa; Arthropoda; Insecta; Lepidoptera; Bombycidae. The record is from Rfam by way of RNAcentral.